RNAcentral lists this ribosomal RNA (308 nucleotides) under Clostridioides difficile. RNAcentral describes it as "partial 23S ribosomal RNA". It matches the Rfam family "Bacterial large subunit ribosomal RNA", at positions 736 to 1044 of the family's 2925-position model. Lineage: Bacteria; Bacillati; Bacillota; Clostridia; Peptostreptococcales; Peptostreptococcaceae. The record is from RNAcentral.
AUGAGCAGGAUGAAGCGAAAGUAAAAUUUCGUGGAGGUCCGAACCCACGAGCGUUGAAAAGCUCGGGGAUGACUUGUGGGUAGCGGUGAAAUUCCAAUCGAGCCCGGAGAUAGCUGGUUCUCCCCGAAAUAGCUUUAGGGCUAGCCUCAAGGUGAGAGAUACGGAGGUAGAGCACUGAAUGUCCUAGGGGGUAUUGCACCUACCGAAGACUAUUAAACUCCGAAUGCCGUCAUCUUAUACUUGGGAGUCAGACUGUGGGUGAUAAGAUUCAUAGUCGAAAGGGCAACAGCCCAGAUCGUCAGCUAAGG